Molecule: ribosomal RNA, 282 nt
Filed under: Enterobacter kobei
Lineage: Bacteria; Pseudomonadati; Pseudomonadota; Gammaproteobacteria; Enterobacterales; Enterobacteriaceae
Description: partial 16S ribosomal RNA
Rfam family: Bacterial small subunit ribosomal RNA
Source: RNAcentral
ACCUCGCGAGAGCAAGCGGACCUCAUAAAGUGCGUCGUAGUCCGGAUUGGAGUCUGCAACUCGACUCCAUGAAGUCGGAAUCGCUAGUAAUCGUAGAUCAGAAUGCUACGGUGAAUACGUUCCCGGGCCUUGUACACACCGCCCGUCACACCAUGGGAGUGGGUUGCAAAAGAAGUAGGUAGCUUAACCUUCGGGAGGGCGCUUACCACUUUGUGAUUCAUGACUGGGGUGAAGUCGUAACAAGGUAACCGUAGGGGAACCUGCGGUUGGAUCACCUCCUUA